RNAcentral lists this ribosomal RNA (1433 nucleotides) under Spirastrella cunctatrix. RNAcentral describes it as "eukaryotic LSU rRNA". It matches the Rfam family "Eukaryotic large subunit ribosomal RNA", at positions 44 to 1280 of the family's 3401-position model. Lineage: Eukaryota; Metazoa; Porifera; Demospongiae; Clionaida; Spirastrellidae. The record is from RNAcentral.
UCAUAAGCGGAGGAAAAGAAACUAACAAGGAUUCCCCCAGUAACGGCGAGCGAAGCGGGAACAGCUCGAGCCUGAAAUCCCUGGCAGGUGCUGCCAGAGAAUUGUGGCCGGGAGAGGCGGCGGUGCCCGGACUGUUGCUGUCAAAGUUGACCUGGAAAGGCACGUCAGAGAGGGUGAGAGCCCCGUGCUUGACACCGACGGGAAGGGCCGCUACCGUCUUCGGAGAGUCGGGUUGUUUGGGAAUGCAGCCCAAAGUGGGUGGUAAACUCCAUCUAAAGCUAAAUACCGGCACGAGACCGAUAGCGAACAAGUACCAUGAGGGAAAGGUGAAAAGUACUUUGAAAAGAGAGUCAAAAAGACCGCGAAACCGUUAGGAGGGAAACGAAUGCAGCUGAAGUGGCUCCGUAUCAGGUUCAGGGGACGUCGGAGGACGUGUCGGCUUUCGGCAAGGUGUCGUCGGUCGGGACGGUCCUGCGACCAGUCUGCAGUCCUGUGGGGAGCCGGCCAACAGCAGUUGYCCCCAGCCCAGAAGGUCGGUCGGGAGGUGCCUCUGCACUCGUGCAGAGAACGUACAGCCGUUCGUCCGGCGGUCCGGGGACGACUGAGGAGAGUCGUGAAUUUUCACGCGUGCAGCGCAGGCCCUUGAGUGGGCCGGGUCGCCUCUGUUCGUUUGGGCCCCGCGGUGGGGACUGCUUGCAGUGUCUGCUGACGGUCAGUCCGCUCGGUCGGGGGGUCGGCCACGCCGUGCGCUCCGGUUGUUGGUGCUCAAAUGGCUGCAUCCGACCCGUCUUGAAACACGGACCAAGGAGUGCAACAUGCGUGCGAGUCUUGGGGUGACAAACCCGUCGGCGCAAUGAAAGUGAAGGCAGGCGUUGGUCUGCUUAGGCGAGAGCCUCCUCGGGGGCGCAUCGUCGACCGAUCCCAGGCUACGCUGUGGCGGGAUUUGAGUGAGAGCGUGCCUGUUGCGACCCGAAAGAUGGUGAACUAUGCCUGAAUAGGGUGAAGCCAGAGGAAACUCUGGUGGAAGCUCGUAGCGAUUCUGACGUGCAAAUCGAUCGUCAAAUUUGGGUAUAGGGGCGAAAGACUAAUCGAACCAUCUAGUAGCUGGUUCCCUCCGAAGUUUCCCUCAGGAUAGCUGGAGCCCGGUGCAGUUUUAUCAGGUAAAGCGAAUGAUUAGAGGUCUUGGGGUUGAAACAACCUCAACCUAUUCUCAAACUUUAAAUGGGUAAGAAGCUCGGCUUGCUUAAUUGAAGUCGGGCAUUGAAUGCCGGGGCUCUUAGUGGGCCAUUUUUGGUAAGCAGAACUGGCGAUGUGGGAUGAACCAAAUGCCGGGUUAAGGUGCCCGAAUCAACGCUCAUCAGAUCCCAUGAAAGGUGUUGGUUGAUCCAGACAGCAGGACGGUGGCCAUGGAAGUCGGAAUCCGCUAAGGAGUG